AGCAAUAUUUCUCAUUGUUGGGAGGAUUGAAAUUGUGAUCCGGCUCAAAUUCUAACUUGUAAAUUCUUGUAAUUUUUGCUUUUAAGACCUUUGGCCUUUUUUCUUCUUCUUUCUUCUUGUGUUUAGGGUUGUGCACCUCUAAUGUUUCUCAUGAUCCAAAUUGUUGCUUAUCAAAAAAAAAUUAGACAUGAUUUUUCAAUGCAAC
RNAcentral lists this long non-coding RNA (205 nucleotides) under Lathyrus oleraceus (garden pea). Its description in RNAcentral is "Pisum sativum (pea) long non-coding RNA (PSAT_LNC039015)". The record is from RNAcentral. Lineage: Eukaryota; Viridiplantae; Streptophyta; Magnoliopsida; Fabales; Fabaceae.